GCCUAAUACAUGCAAGUCGAGCGGACAGAAGGGAGCUUGCUCCCGGAUGUUAGCGGCGGACGGGUGAGUAACACGUGGGUAACCUGCCUGUAAGACUGGGAUAACUCCGGGAAACCGGAGCUAAUACCGGAUAGUUCCUUGAACCGCAUGGUUCAAGGAUGAAAGACGGUUUCGGCUGUCACUUACAGAUGGACCCGCGGCGCAUUAGCUAGUUGGUGAGGUAACGGCUCACCAAGGCGACGAUGCGUAGCCGACCUGAGAGGGUGAUCGGCCACACUGGGACUGAGACACGGCCCAGACUCCUACGGGAGGCAGCAGUAGGGAAUCUUCCGCAAUGGACGAAAGUCUGACGGAGCAACGCCGCGUGAGUGAUGAAGGUUUUCGGAUCGUAAAGCUCUGUUGUUAGGGAAGAACAAGUGCAAGAGUAACUGCUUGCACCUUGACGGUACCUAACCAGAAAGCCACGGCUAACUACGUGCCAGCAGCCGCGGUAAUACGUAGGUGGCAAGCGUUGUCCGGAAUUAUUGGGCGUAAAGGGCUCGCAGGCGGUUUCUUAAGUCUGAUGUGAAAGCCCCCGGCUCAACCGGGGAGGGUCAUUGGAAACUGGGAAACUUGAGUGCAGAAGAGGAGAGUGGAAUUCCACGUGUAGCGGUAAAAUGCGUAGAGAUGUGGAGGAACACCAGUGGCGAAGGCGACUCUCUGGUCUGUCCUAAC
RNAcentral lists this ribosomal RNA (714 nucleotides) under Bacillus sp. NAB9. RNAcentral describes it as "bacterial SSU rRNA". It matches the Rfam family "Bacterial small subunit ribosomal RNA", at positions 46 to 744 of the family's 1533-position model. The record is from RNAcentral. Lineage: Bacteria; Bacillati; Bacillota; Bacilli; Caryophanales; Bacillaceae.